Long non-coding RNA from Falco peregrinus (peregrine falcon), 608 nucleotides. RefSeq lists it as uncharacterized. NCBI's taxonomy places the organism in Eukaryota, Metazoa, Chordata, Aves, Falconiformes, Falconidae. The record is from RefSeq and is a predicted model, not a curated record. The transcript is spliced from 3 exons.
GCUGCACAUACGGCCCCGGAAGGUGGGUUCAUUGCCGGCCCGUGCGGCGCGCCGGAGCGGCUGUGGCGGUCCGGGGCCUUCGCCGGGAGCUUGGAAGACUUUCGGCGGCUGCUGGGUUCAUCCGGAAUUGUACGUUGACAAAUCAAGAGGAGCUAAAGUGAAGGGCGUGGGAAGGCAGGAGAGACUGGAAGCCUUGGCUGUUGUGUGCGGAGAAGCUGUCAGCCUUUUGAGAGAGCAUCUAGCCAGCAAGCGCCUUGUGGUGCUUUGGUACCAAGCUGAUACCACAGGCCUCAAUCUUUUUUUUGUGAAAAGGGAUCACAAGGAAAUGUGCUGAUGUUGAAGGGGGAAAGGUAGGAGGCAGCUUUCAACCAAUUUUAGGCUUAACUCUUGUGUUCCUGAGAAUGGUUCUGGGCUUUGAAGGGUUUGCUUUUGGCUUUUUGCCUUAAGCGCGCAUCCUCCAUCACCGCUAUCUGUGUGUGCUGAGCUGCUGCUCUAGGGAACUGUGGUGAUACAGAUUGUGUGCAUGCCGACCAUCUUGAAGGCCAUAGCUGUACUUUACCCUAGAAAAGCUUUCCGUAAUACUACGCUUCUGUUAGGAUGCAAUUUUC